Non-coding RNA from Xylaria castorea, 98 nucleotides. The record is from the annotation of a GenBank genome assembly. Lineage: Eukaryota; Fungi; Ascomycota; Sordariomycetes; Xylariales; Xylariaceae.
UCCGAAUUGGUGUAGUGGCCAACAUUUGACGCUCUCAUUUGCAUCACCAGAUGUAGAGAAGUGCCGUCAAGCCCGGGGUUCGAUUCCCCGAUUCGGAG